This 407-nucleotide ribosomal RNA is filed under the name uncultured bacterium. Its description in RNAcentral is "partial 16S ribosomal RNA". It matches the Rfam family "Bacterial small subunit ribosomal RNA", at positions 28 to 526 of the family's 1533-position model. The record is from RNAcentral.
GACGAACGCUGGCGGCGUGCUUAACACAUGCAAGUCGAGCGAAGCGGCGGACGGGUGAGUAACACGUGAGUAACCUGCCUUAGACAUUGGGAUAGCAUCGGGAAACCGGGAUCAAUACCAAAUGGUCUAAGAUGGACUCGAGUCCCAUUAGCGAGUUGGUGAGGUAACGGCCCACCAAGGAGACGAUGGGUAGCCGGGCUUGGAGGGUGAACGGGCACAUUGGAAGUGGGAAACGGUCGGAACUCUACGAGAGGCAGCAGUGGGGAAUAGUGCACAAUGGAGGGAACUCUGAUGCUGCGAGGCCGGGUAAACGAAGAAGGCUGUCAAGACGUAAAGUUCUUUUAUAUGGGAAGCGGUACCAGAAGAAAAAGCCCCGGCUAACUACGUGCCAGCAGCCGCGGUAAUUC